CGCUUGUCGCCUGAAACAUUUGUCUCAGCCUUUGCAAGGAAAGGUGAGCAAAGUUUCAGGUGUGUUUACGA
RNAcentral lists this microRNA precursor (71 nucleotides) under Soboliphyme baturini. RNAcentral's name for it is "mir-87 microRNA precursor family". It matches the Rfam family "mir-87 microRNA precursor family". The record is from Rfam by way of RNAcentral. Lineage: Eukaryota; Metazoa; Nematoda; Enoplea; Dioctophymatida; Soboliphymatidae.